This 256-nucleotide ribosomal RNA is filed under the name uncultured bacterium. RNAcentral's name for it is "partial 16S ribosomal RNA". It matches the Rfam family "Bacterial small subunit ribosomal RNA", at positions 524 to 776 of the family's 1533-position model. The record is from RNAcentral.
UACGUAGGGUGCGAGCGUUAAUCGGAAUUACUGGGCGUAAAGCGUGCGCAGGCGGUUUUGUAAGUCUGAUGUGAAAAUCCCCCGGGCUCAACCUGGGAAUUGCAUUGGAGACUGCAAGGCUAGAAUCUGGCAGAGGGGGGGUAGAAUUCCACGUGUAGCAGUGAAAUGCGUAGAGAUGUGGAGGAACACCGAUGGCGAAGGCAAUCCCCUGGGCCUGCACUGACGCUCAUGCACGAAAGCGUGGGGAGCAAACAGG